UACGAAGGGGGCGAGCGUUGUUCGGAAUUACUGGGCGUAAAGGGCGCGCAGGCGGCCUUAGAAGUCAGAUGUGAAAGCCCCGGGCUCAACCUGGGAAUGGCAUUUGAUACUCUGAGGCUGGAGUACGGGAGAGGAGAGUGGAAUUCCCAGUGUAGAGGUGAAAUUCGUAGAUAUUGGGAAGAACACCGGUGGCGAAGGCGGCGACCUGGUCCUUGACUGACGCUGAGGCGCGAAAGCGUGGGGAGCAAACAGG
This 253-nucleotide ribosomal RNA is filed under the name uncultured bacterium. RNAcentral's name for it is "partial 16S ribosomal RNA". It matches the Rfam family "Bacterial small subunit ribosomal RNA", at positions 524 to 776 of the family's 1533-position model. The record is from RNAcentral.